UACGGAGGGAGCUAGCGUUGUUCGGAAUUACUGGGCGUAAAGCGCGCGUAGGCGGCUUUGUAAGUUAGAGGUGAAAGCCCGGGGCUCAACCCCGGAACUGCCUUUAAGACUGCAUCGCUUGAAUCCAGGAGAGGUGAGUGGAAUUCCGAGUGUAGAGGUGAAAUUCGUAGAUAUUGGGAAGAACACCGGUGGCGAAGGCGGCGACCUGGUCCUUGACUGACGCUGAGGCGCGAAAGCGUGGGGAGCAAACAGG
Molecule: ribosomal RNA, 253 nt
Filed under: uncultured bacterium
Lineage: Bacteria
Description: partial 16S ribosomal RNA
Rfam family: Bacterial small subunit ribosomal RNA
Source: RNAcentral